Molecule: RNA transcript, 3985 nt
Organism: Arachis stenosperma
Lineage: Eukaryota; Viridiplantae; Streptophyta; Magnoliopsida; Fabales; Fabaceae
Exons: 7
Source: RefSeq, a predicted model, not a curated record
AACAGGGCAGCUACUUCCCUAGCUGCCGAAUUCCUCUUCUUCUUCUUCUUCUUCUUCUUCAAACUUUCGAACGGCGGUCACUUCUUUCUCUUCACUGCGGCUUCUGCUAUGUAUUCUCUCCCCGUCGUCGCUAUUGCUAUGUAAUCUCUCUCCACCGGAGCUGCAACCUUUCAGCUCGUUGCCGUCUGUUCUCCUGCUCUCUACUCACCCACUCUCUCUCGCUACCUCUCUACUUUCUCUCCCACCACCGCCGCUGUUCUAUCCACUACCAGAUUUCGCCGCCGCCUGCAAACUCUGCUGCCGGUACCGCAACGAACACCGCUUCCUUUUAGAAACUUAGAUUGGACAAAAAUGUGAAGUCACUUGGUUGUGUCUUCCCAGUCUCAUCUACAUUUGUAGAAGCAAAUUUGUUCGUGUUUGUUAUUAAUGGCCAGAUGGGAUGCAAUUCUGUCGCUUCCCGUCCAAAAUCCUCCCACAUUGGAGAUCUCUUCUGCUGACCUAGUAUGGUCGAAAGUGGAAGGUUGGCAUGAUAAACUAGAUAGAGUUGCUCUAAUUCCAUUUGCCAGAGUUGAUGAUUUUGUGAGAGGUGAAUCAAAUAAUAAAGAAUGUCCAACAAGAUUUCAUGUUGAAGCAAGGCGUCGACGUCGUCCAUCAAUGCCUCUCAAGCCGAAGGUUGAUGGUAUACUAGAGUAUAUACUGUAUUGGUGUUCCUUUGGUCCCGAUGACCACAGAAAAGGUGGCGUUGUACGGCCAAGUCGGACUACAUAUGUUCCAAAGAAGAAAAAUGCUGGUCGGCCAAAUACUAAGAGAGGUUGCACCUGUCACUUUAUUGUGAAACGCCUCAUAGCCGAACCUUCAGUUGCCUUGAUCAUAUAUAAUGAUGAUAAACAUGUGGAUAAAAAGGGUUUGCCAUGCCAUGGUCCACAGGACAAAAAGGCUGCUGGAACACGUGCAAUGUAUGCUCCAUAUAUCUCGGAAGAUCUUCGACUUCGUGUUUUAUCUCUCCUAUAUGUUGGGGUCUCUGUGGAGACUAUUAUGCAGAGGCACAAUGAAUCGGUUGAGAGACAGGGAGGUCCUAGUAACCGUGAUGACCUUUUGACCCACCGAUAUGUUCGACGACAAGAGAGGGCGAUCCGUCGAUCUACAUAUGAACUAGAUGAUGAUGAUGCUGUUAGCAUCAAGAUGUGGGUUGAAAGCCACCAAAGUCACGUUUUCUUCUAUGAAGAUUUUUCUGAUUCAGAUCCAUUUACUCUGGGGAUUCAAACUGAGUGGCAAUUGCAGCAAAUGAUUAGAUUUGGGAAUCGAGCUUUGCUUGCAUCAGAUUCAAGAUUUGGUACAAACAAAUUAAAGUACCCCAUUCACAGUCUUCUUGUGUUUAACUGUGACAAGAAGGCCAUUCCAGUGGCUUGGAUAAUAGCUCCAAGGUUUUCGAGCUUAGAUGCACAUCGAUGGAUGAGGGCUCUUUACAAUCGAGUUCAAACAAAAGAUCCUAACUGGAGAUUGGCGGGCUUUAUAGUAGAUGAUCCGCUUUAUGAUAUCCUGGCAAUCAGAGAUGUUUUUCAGUGCUCAGUAUUGAUAAGUUUCUGGAGGGUUCGUCAUCUAUGGCAUAAAAACAUAGUGAGGAGUUUGCAGAUUGACAUGCAAAUAAAGAUAUCCAAACAACUUGAGCUGAUUGUGGAUAAUAUUUGCCGCCUUCAAGGGACCAUGUCACUCUUUGAAGAUUUCAUUGAAGACUUUAUUGAUGAAUCCAAUUUUAUGGACUAUUUUAAGGCUACUUGGUAUCCUAGAAUGGGAGCUUGGAUCAAUGCACUUAAAACUUUGCCUCUUGCUAGCCAGGAAACUUGUGCAGCAGUGGAAUUUUAUCACAACCAACUGAAGAUCAGACUGUUCAAUGAGAAGGACAACAGUGUUUUUCAGCGAGCUGAUUGGUUGGUUGACAAGUUGGGUACGAAAGUCCAUUCUUAUUUCUGGCUUGAUGAGUACUCUGGAAAAGAUGAUUUUGCUCGCUAUUGGAAAAAUGAAUGGAUAAGUGGUUUGACAUCAUGGCGCAAGGCGCUGAAAAUUCCAGAUACUGAUGUCCUAUUGGAAGAUGGGUGUGCCAAGGUUACUGAUCAGGAUAAUCCAGAAAAAACUUAUGUUGUUCACAAUCCCAGUUCAAUGUUUAGCAUAUGUAAUUGUAGUUGGGCGCAAGGUGGGAACCUCUGCGAGCAUGUCCUGAAAGUUAUUAGCAUCUAUCAAAAGAGAAGGUCCCUUCCGCCUUCUGUUGGCUUUUUUCAGUAUCAGCAGGCUCUAAAGAACAUGCUGCAUUGCCCACCCUAUGACUCUUUAAUUCGCGAUCAUGCAGUCUCCUUGGCAGUUUCUGUUCAGCAACAGUUAAAUACCCUGCUUGAUAAAGAGAGCGUUGCAACUGUUAUGGAUCCUAAUGAGAAAAGAGUUGUUGUUGAUAUCUGCUUAGAGACAUCAAAAGUUGUCUCAUGUAAUCAAGAUCCGAAGUUAGAUAAUAAACAGUUUAUAAUCAGUGAUGAUAUAUCUCUUGAUGGUGAUGACUCUGAUGAUGGACUCAAAAUUGCUGAUCAAGUUGUAGAUUGUCACAGCAAUGAAAAUGGCAUCCCAUCUGAGAGGGUUAGAGAAGACAGUCUACCUGCUGACAUGGACGUUGAUCUAUCAUCAAUUUAUAUUUCCCCUCCUAGAUUGUUGUCUACCGAUGAGAAUUUUUCAAGUAAUGAGUUCCCAGAUAAAGCUUUCGCUACUGAAGUGAAUGAGGUUUUAGCUUCUGAGGAUGGUGCUUUGUGCGAUGAUAAGGAUAAAGAACGCAAUUUAGAUAAAGACUGUAAAGAAUAUGCAAUGGAUGUGGAUUCCCCAGUCUUAGAUGUCUCAUUGGAAACAGCAACUCCGAAACACUGCGAAACCCAUCAGAAUGGGUUCAAUGAUGUUCCUGGAGUAAUUUCUUGCAGAAAAGAAGCUGAGCUAUAACAUCCCUUGCUUUGAUAUAUCCAUGGAUAUUGACCUACAGGUUGCUGUCGAGAAAUGAACUCUUGGUACAAUUGAACCAAAAGUACAAUCAAAGAGGAUGCAAAAUUGGGUUCAAAUACGAUGAAAAGAACAUGAAUUAAAAUUCAUCUAUUCUUGACGGCUAUUAAUGGUAUAUAUUUGAGGUUAUCAGCCAGCCUGAAGUGUCAAUAGCAAUUAGUUAUAUUCACUAAACUGUAUCAGGAUUCAGGACGAAUUGCUGAUGUGAUCGUAUCGAGUGGUAGAUAAUAGUUACAACAGUUGCUAUUAACUGAUGGUGAUUCGUAAAUUGGGGAUUUCUUCGGAUUCUCUCCUUCCGAACAACUACUAGAGGGAUGAAAAAGAAAAAUCUCCGGAUUGCUUCUUUUGUUCCCUUAAUUGUAUGGAAGCAAAGAAUUUAUAACCUUACUAAUGUUGAGCACAUUGCAUGGUUUAAAUUGUAAACACGGUGGCAGUUGUGGUUGUGGUUGUGGUGGUGGUUGCACUACGGUGAAGGAAUUGUGGGGAAAAUGUGUAACAGCCACAAUUGGCUCUAUGAUGCCCAUAUGGUGGACACUGCAGAAACAUUGUAAUAACUACUAUAGUUUAUUAGCCUGUUAUUUCUUAGGGUUUUUAUUAGAUCGGAGUAUGUUAGAUAUUAAACAUUCUUUCUCUUAUAAUCCUGAUAUAGUUGGUUACUUAGCAUACUAGUGGAUGUCUCGCACAUGGUGAAAACUCAAGGGCAGAUAACUUCAUGUGAAGUUGAUAGUUGAAAGCUGGUAGAUGAUAAUUUAGUCAAACCUGACAAAUUAAUUAACGGUUCUUAACUAUUAACUUUACAUGAAGUUAACUGUACCUAAGUUUCUACCAUUAUGCAUAUGUAUAGGUUGAGUGGUUAAUCUUGUUUAUUAUAUUGGUGUUUAAUCUACUUUAUUAUAUUUGAGCUUCACUUGUUACUUAAGAUAAAUAUGUAAAAUCGUCUAGUAUAUAGAUAGAA